This 221-nucleotide ribosomal RNA is filed under the name uncultured bacterium. RNAcentral's name for it is "partial 16S ribosomal RNA". It matches the Rfam family "Bacterial small subunit ribosomal RNA", at positions 28 to 249 of the family's 1533-position model. The record is from RNAcentral.
GACGAACGCUGGCGGCGUGCUUAACACAUGCAAGUCGAGCGGUAAGGCCCUUUCGGGGGUACACGAGCGGCGAACGGGUGAGUAACACGUGGGUGACCUGCCCUCAGCUCUGGGAUAAGCCUGGGAAACCGGGUCUAAUACUGGAUAUGACUCCAUGACGCAUGUUGUGGGGUGGAAAGCCUUGUGACGGCUGAGGAUGGGCCCGCGGCCUAUCAGCUUGU